AAUGAACGUUGGCGGCGUGGAUUAGGCAUGCAAGUCGAGCGUGUACCCCGCAAGGGGGAAAGCGGCAAACGGGGUAGGAACGCGUAGGUCACGUACCCUUCGGACGGGGAUAGCCACGGGAAACUGUGGGUAAUACCCGAUAACGCCGAGAGGCCAAAGGUGUGAUUCCGCCGGGGGAGCGGCCUGCGUAGUAUUAGCUAGUUGGUGAGGUAAUGGCUCACCAAGGCGAAGAUGCUUAGGGGGUGUGAGAGCAUGACCCCCACCACUGGGAC
Molecule: ribosomal RNA, 272 nt
Filed under: uncultured bacterium
Lineage: Bacteria
Description: partial 16S ribosomal RNA
Rfam family: Bacterial small subunit ribosomal RNA
Source: RNAcentral